RNAcentral lists this long non-coding RNA (3041 nucleotides) under Mus musculus (house mouse). Its description in RNAcentral is "long non-coding RNA chr18:77147266-77150307". The record is from RNAcentral. Lineage: Eukaryota; Metazoa; Chordata; Mammalia; Rodentia; Muridae.
AUUGACGAAACUAUUUCAUAUGCAAAAUAGUGUACUUAAAUGACAUAUGUUGAUGGUAGCCUACUCUUUUAUCAGCAGGAGUGACUUUGAAACACAUGGCAGUGUUUUCCCUGAGGAACAGUCACAUUUAAAUUGUCUGCAUUUGUGAUGCUGGAACGACAAUCUAAAAUUCCAACCAAUCUUUAGAAAAAUGUUUAUACAUCAUAUUAGGGCAUUAUAUAAUUAGUAGUAUAUAUAGUUAUCUGUGGGUGAGAGAGCAAAACAAACCAAAAACAAUUAAAAGCUUUUCUAAAUAGAUUUUACAUUUGUUGGUACACAUGAAGUCAGCAAAGAGAAUCACAGUACAUCUGUAAAGCUGGGUUGGAAUAAGUAAUAUUGGAAGACCUUGGCCCUCAGUGUACGAUCUGUAAUAAUAGAGUAUAGAAACAGUUGGAAUAGUUUAUCAAACUUACAUGUUUACUUAGAGUCAUGACGUGGCAGCAGUUGGACAUUGGGACGAAUGAGCAUUCUCAAAUGAGUUGUUUGAAUUUGUGGUACAUCUUCUGAAAUAGUAAUGCUUUCUUUAGCUUUUAUUUAGCUUAUUAUUAAAAUAGAAUGAGUAACCAACACUACACGUGGCGAGCCAGACAUAGUGACUUCUGCAUAUGAGCCCUGCACUUAGGAAGCAGGGGCAGGAGGUCUGUGAGUUCAGUGUGUCAGCCUGUGCUAUAUCCCUGCCUGACGAAUGAAACCAAACCAACAACAAAAAAGAUUUUAAAAAGGCAGGAACUGAAUCUACGAGAUGACUCAACUAGUUAAGAGCAUUUACGGUUCCUGCAAAGGACCUGAGUUUAUUUUAUAGUACUUGACAGCUCACCAGCACCUUUAACUGCGACUCUAUGGUAUCCAGUGCCCCCUCUUCUGACCACUGUGGGCACCUGUACACAUGUGCAUUGAGUGGACACGCACAUGCAUGCAUACUAAAAAUGUCUUUAAAAAGUAGAAGCUCUUUGUAAAGAUGAACAAAAAAUGUUACACUACUUAGGGCGAAACAACAAUGAAUAAAAUCAACCCAGUUUAUUAAAUGAUAUUCCAAUAAAUCUUGAUGUCUUGAUCAGUGGUGGAACCAUUGACUAUAAAACUCUCAAAAGGUAUAUAAAGGCUAGACAGGCUUGAAUUGGUUUUAAAAGCAGACAGAUUGAUUGAAUAAUUUAAAGUGUUAUCCUUAUUUAAAUAUAUUACCUUCUGGUUAUCAUUUUAAUGGGUAAAUCAUUGCAAUAGUGGAUUAUGAUUUACAUUGUUCAUCAGACUAAACUGAUAUAUCAUGUAGCUAGUAACAGAUUAUGCUAACAAGUUUUUAAAAAUGCUUUAGAAAUUGAGCAAUUCCUUUCAAAUUGCAGGGCUUAUAGCUUGUGUGAUAAGUGUCUAAAAUUCAUUUGUAAAUAAGGAACUAGUGAUACUUUAAAUUUUUUAGUUAAAUUAUUUAUAGUUUUUAUUGAAUGUGUCCAUUAUCUUUCUUACUAAUCUCUAUUUUCAUAGUAAUAAAGUAUUAGACUUUCACUCCACGUGGUUGCUACAUUAAAGCCAGCAUAUAAAAGUUAAUGGGUGCAGGGCAGUGGUGAUGUACAUCUUUAAUCCCAGUGCGUGGGAGGCAGAGGUAUGUGGAUCUCUGGUUGAGGCCAGCUUGGUCUAGAGUAAGUUCCAAGACGCCCAGGUCAGGGCUGCACAGGGUGACCAAAAACCAAUCCAACCAACCAACCAACCAAACAAACAAAGCACUGGAAAGAGAGCGAAAGCAUUGAUGCAUGUUAGGUAUAAGGUUGUUCCAGGCUGAAAACAUAAACAUUUAUGGGAUCAAAUAGACAUUGACCUUUGGCUUGUUUGUUUGUUUGUUGGUUGGUCUUUUUUCUUUUCUUUUCUUUUUUUUUAGACAGGGUCUCACUUUGUGGCCCUGGCUGGCUUGGAACUCAGAGAUCUGCCUGUCUCUGCAUCCCACAUGCUGGGCAACAUUGCCCUAAUUUAAUAGCCUAUACUCAAGUAUUUAGUUCCUUUUUUAAAUGUCUUAAAAUAAUUUAAAGCUUUUGAUUACACAGGGAAGUCUUCAGAUGGUGACUUUUUAAGACUUUUGCUAGACUUUUCAGACAUGAGGUUUUUUUCGUAUACCUUAUUGUUACUUGAGUACUUACAAAGAAAAUCUUUUUCACGUAUCUAUUUUCAAAAUGUAGUUGUAGAAUUUGAGUUUUUUUGUUUAAGGCAUUUUAUUAGCUGAGGACCUAUUAGCUAUAAAGAAACUUGUUGGUGAAUAGCAGCCCCUAAGUGCUUGCUUUGUGCAGAGAGCUCUGUAGAACUCUGACAUGGGAAUGCACAGACAGCUAGCUCCUGAGGAAGUAAAUAGCUGUUAAAGAAUUGGUAUUUUUAGAUUAAUGUGUAUUUCUUUAAAAUAAACACAAAGUGUCUUAACCUAAGAAUGUUUUUUCGUAAUGGUCUAAAGAUUAUUAUGAUUUUGACUGGUUUUUCCUCUGAGUGACAAAAGAGAAAGCCUUGGUUCAAGUAGUCUGGCACUGGAAAUUUUGGGACUGCUGCUUUUGAGUUGUUGUGUUGGGAAGCACUUUUUUCUAGUUGUUUUGGUCAAAAAAAAUGUAUUUGGGUUUUAGAUGCAUUCAAUAUAACCAGCUAUGAUCAUAGAACUUCACUGUGGCAGUGAAAUGAACAUUACCACAGAUGUCUCUUGGCUUAUAAAUACAGAAUGAUCUUGGGAAAUAAUUUCUUGUCUCCAAAAUAUGAGACAACUAUUAACAAAGCAUUUUUGUUUUAGGUUUGGAUUUUCUUUCCCUUAUUCCAGUUGAUCCCCAGGUAUGUAUCCUGAAUUUAAGCAACUAAUUUGUAUUUGGUUGUUGAUUAUGUCAUACUAACUAAAAAUGAUCAGUUGCAUAAAAUCAGGACAGUAAAUUCUCAUGUGGCUAGAAAGGAAGUACUAUAUAAAUAUCACACUUUCAUUUGAAGGAAUAAAGUUACUCUUGUUCAAUCUAUUAUUUAUUGCUCUUAUUAAACUUUCUAUUUUU